CCAGCACCUAUACUACCCUACUGACAAAGUUAUAGCAAAUAUGUAUAUAUUUUCAUCUGGUACACAUUAUCCUAACCUUGAAAUAAGAAAUCUCCUAAAUUCCGUCUUUUACCAAAUUGCACUGUUUGAAAGAAGAAGGCAUUCAAACUCAAUCACACACAGAUUUUGCAGGCUACAGUUGCAAGCUUGAGUCCUGGGUCUCUCUAGGAAGGACCAGCAGAAAUUAUGACAUGAAUCUCUGAUUAUUUUCCUAGCUGUGAGACAACUGAUUACUUUUCUCAGAAUUGAUUUAUGGGUUGUUUUUCCACAAAAUAUUUUACUAUAGAACAGUUGAUGUUUGCAUUACAGAAAAAUUGCAUUAGUUCAGAGCAGAAAUGGAAACUGAACAAUUGAGGUGUUUAGAUCCUUCUUGAUUAUCAUAUUUUUUCAAUCAUAGGGAGAUACUGUCAUUGUGGAAGGCCCACCAGGUCUCAGAGGGAACAAAGGAGAACCAGGAGACCGUGGUCUAAAAGGAAUGGAAGGGGAGAAGGGUGACAAAGGAGAUCACGGAAUCAUUGGAGAGAAGGGAGUGAAGGGUGAACAAGGUGAGAAAGGAUCCACAGGCUUCCCUGGUGCACGAGGACCCAGUGGGCAAAAGGUAAGAGAUUAUUUCUUCAUUCACGGUUGCAUAUCUACUGGAUGGUUUUAUUUUUCUAUCCAAUAUUUAUAUACAGGCUGUUUUGCUUUGCAUAGGGAGAAAUUGGAAAAUCAGGAGAACCAGGAGAGCCGGGUCAGUCUGGGAAGGAUGGUAUUCCUGGAACCAGAGGGGAGAAGGGAGAAAUGGGACCUAAUGGAAUGCGAGGCCCAAAGGGCGAUCGAGGAAUGAAAGGAGCCUGUGGCCAAGAUGGAGAUAAGGGUGAGAAGGUGAUUGUCAGAUUUACUCUUUGAUUUCUUUGCAUUAUGAAACAUUAAGUAAAAGCUAAAAAGAUUGCUUGGGGAAGAAGUAAAAUACUGUACUUUGACAGACAUUAAGGCAAAGGAGCAGAGGGUUUUUUUAUGAAACAUAAUGGUUCUUACAUCUUGUUCCCUGAUAAAAGAAGCCACCAAUACAGAGGUGGUAUUCAGCAGAUUCUUACAAGUUCUGGAGAACCGGUACCGGAAAUUUUGAGUAGUUUGGAG
Molecule: long non-coding RNA, 1158 nt
Filed under: Laticauda laticaudata (blue-ringed sea krait)
Lineage: Eukaryota; Metazoa; Chordata; Lepidosauria; Squamata; Elapidae
Description: lncRNA (ENSLLTG00000000456.1)
Source: RNAcentral